UCGACCUGAGGUCAGGCAAGAACACCCGCUGAACUUAAGCAUAUCAAUAAGCGGAGGAAAAGAAACUAACUAGGAUUCCCUUAGUAGCGGCGAGCGAACCGGGAUGAGCCCAACUUGUAAAUCAUUAGCCUUCGGCUGAUUGAAUUGUAGUCUCAAGAUGCGAUCUCUGCAGCUAGCAGUGCCCAAUUUUCCUUGGAAAAGGGAGUCAGAGAGGGUGAGAACCCCGUCGGCACUUGCCUCAGCUGCUCCACGAGGCGUUUUCUCAGAGUCGGGUUGCUUGGGAAUGCAGCCCUAAGUAGGUGGUAAAUCCCAUCUAAGGCUAAAUACUGACGGGAGACCGAUAGCGAACAAGUACCGUGAGGGAAAGAUGAAAAGAACUUUGAAAAGAGAGUCAAAAGUGCUUGAAAUUGUUGAGGGGGAAGGAAUUGGAAGCCAUUUGUGCGCCCGGGCUUAAGUGGGCAAUUCUGCCCAUUGUACGCCUUGGGUGCCGGUCAGCAUCGGCUACUGGACCGGGAUAAUAACUUUUCUUUCGGAGAGUGCAU
Molecule: ribosomal RNA, 542 nt
Filed under: uncultured Trebouxia photobiont
Lineage: Eukaryota; Viridiplantae; Chlorophyta; Trebouxiophyceae; Trebouxiales; Trebouxiaceae
Description: eukaryotic LSU rRNA
Rfam family: Eukaryotic large subunit ribosomal RNA
Source: RNAcentral